Molecule: long non-coding RNA, 4762 nt
Filed under: Cucumis sativus (cucumber)
Lineage: Eukaryota; Viridiplantae; Streptophyta; Magnoliopsida; Cucurbitales; Cucurbitaceae
Description: long non-coding RNA (CSAT_LNC001248)
Source: RNAcentral
AGUGAUUCUCAACCAGCUAAAGUACUCGUGGCGUCUUUCUUUGAUUCCUCUUCGGAACAGUAUCGAAUAUUGUUCCCACCAGCUCGCUCCCCAUUGCCUUCUCGAAUUUGAUACCUUCGAUUUCAGCUCUUCGUCUAGCGUCAGAGGUGUCAGCAUUUUCCUCUUUUCCUUCUCUGCAACUCUCGUCUCGUAAGCCUCCACCAGAUACUGCUUUACAUUAUUGUAUAUUCAAAUCAAACCUUAGCUUUCUCUACUCUUUUUUGGAUUUUGCAUGGAAUUUUUAUUUCUCUUUGCAACUAUGUUACUCUGGUUUCACUGGUGAAUGUGUUCUUAUUGUCUAAGUGUACAAACUAUCCAACAACUACUCUUGAAAUGUCUUAAAUUGGUUAUCUACCACCUCAAAUCACCAAUUACUGGGUGUUGUCUUGUUCUAUUUCAGAAAAUAAGUGGGAUUGGUAAGUUGAGUUUCCAGGAAGGUUUAACAAAGUUAUGGGAAUGGGAUAGAAUCAAAUCAUGUUUCAGAUGAAGAGUUCAAAGAGAAAUUAUAGAAUAGUGGCGCUGUGCCUUGAAAACUGGAAAGUGGACCAGGGGUAAUAUUUGGAAGUGUUGACUAGUUUGGGAAGGUUAACUUGAUAUGCGUUCUAGAAAAUUAUGAUUUUAAGUAGUUGAUAUAUUUCAGACAAAUAUUUUAUGAGAUUUAGGUGAAAUUCAAUUCUACUAUAGAAAUUCUAGUUAACGGGACUCUAGUACAAUCAGGUUGUUGCAAAGUGGAUUGUAAUCAUAUUAAGAUCAAAGGUAAAGAGUUCAAGAUUUUAACUUGAUUUCCUGAAACAUACCUCUUGGACAAGAAUUGGAGAAGGUCUAUCCUGCCUACUGUCAGCCUCGGAAUUCUCCAUUUGCACCUUGUCCUCUAGCUCUGAUGGAACAGACACAUCACUCAGGUUGCCAUUUGCAAGGUCAAGCAAGAACUCUGCUGGGUUCAUUGCAAUAAGUGGAGAACAUCCUAUAGAUGCGAAAUAGUUCAUUGCUUCCGCUGCUUUGCCAUAAUAGAUCAAGCUUCCCUUCCCAAGAAGAAUUAGCUUGUCAAAUUUGUGAAAUAGUCUGCUUGAUGGCUGGUGAAUCGUUGUCACCACGGUCUUCCCAGCCUGCCAUGGAAGAACAGCUUUUAUCAUUAUAUGUUGGAACUAAUCCGGAAAACAGAAGAAGAAUGUUGCAUUGAAGAUAUUUAUAUACUUCAGCUAUCUCAUGUAAAAUCUGAACAAUUCUCAAUGCAGUUGUUGAAUCCAGGCCCGAAGUAGGUUCAUCAAGAAACAAUAGGGAGGGAUUGAUUAUUAUCUCAUUGCCUAUAGAGACCCUACGUCUUUCUCCACCUGAAACCCCACGGACGAAGGAGCCACCAAUCAUCGUAUCCUGGCACCUGCCGAGGCUAAAUUGAUGAGCAUCUAUUCCAGAAGAAUGUAACGUCUUAUGCUUUAGUUAGAAAGAGCUGAGAAGCUUACCUUUCAAGUCCCAGCUCGUAGAUGACAUCAAUUGCACGCUUUUCCUUUUGCUCUUUCGUCAAUGUAUUUGGCAAUCGAAGCAAUGCUGCAUAUCUCAAUGUUUCUUUCACUGUUAGGUGGGGAAAUAGAACAUCCUCCUGCAUCACGAAUCCUAUCCUGUAAUGGUAUUUUAUUUUGUCAGGAUCAAAACUAGUUUUUUAAUUACUCAUCUACAUCAGUAUUCUUUAAUUGGAUCAGUAUGUGAAGUAGACCAUGGACUUUGUCUAGAAAUCUUGCCUGCUUUUCAGGAACUUAUUGUAUGGUUGAUCAUUGUAAGUAACGGAACCACCAGCUGUAGACCGUAUGAUCCGCCCUCCAAGAAGAUUGAGUAACGUUGUCUUGCCACUUCCUGAAGGUCCCAUUAAGGCCAGAACUUCACCUGGGUUUACCAGACCAGUAAUCCCAUUUAGGAUCUCCUUCUCCACAUUUGUUCGCAAUCCUUUUAUGAUUACUUUAUAAGUAACAUCCUUGAACUGCAAAGUAUUUCAUCCAGACAACAGGAUGAACUUAGUUCAGUAAAAGUUACAGAAAAUUCUUAUUCACCAUAGCUUAGAGAAAAUAUUCAACUCGAGUUAGAUCAGAUGGUUAUAUUUUCCAAAAGAUAUGUAAGUAGGUUAGUAUAUUAACCCUUCUUUCCCUCUACAAAGUGAUGCGUUGAUUAGCUUCUUUGAGCCCUUAAACAACCUGAUUGUGGUUGUGCAUGGACUUAAAUGUUUUAAAAAAUCAGCUAGUCUAAAGUUCCUAAAGGACAGGUAUCCUUCACAAGUUUUUUAUUUGAUCUUUUUGGCUCUUAAUAUGUUCUCUCAGUUAGGUGGAAAGAUGGGAUGAGUCUUGUACAUGAAUUGUCAUAUAAAACGAAACUUUGUACAAGACUGAACCUGACCAUGCUAUAAUUUGCAUGCUAGCUUAGCCAUGUUCUAUGUGGUUUGUGCUUUUAUCUCUACAUCAAUCUCCCUGUCUUUUGCCUGUCCAAAUAGAUAGACAUAAAUUCAUUUGCUAUCAGCAAAACAACAUACAUUUCUGAACACUUUCAUUUUUUUUUUUGGUUGUUAAAGAUUUGUUGGACAUAUAUUCUGGGAGAAAUCACUUUAUGAUGAAAGUACACUUUAUUUACCUUGAGGUGAAUGGGCAUGGUUGGUUCUGUUUGAAAUCUGGUCUUGCAUGUUCCUGCUUCGACAUCCUCUGCUGUUAUAUUAUAAGCAUAUAGAUGUUAAACGGUUGAAUUGGGAAAUUUACCCCCAAGAUACUCUAUUCUUGAAACAUGGAACUACAAUUAUUAAUAUUUUUUACUAUGAGAAACCAACUUCUAUUUAGAAUGAUUAAAAUAAGAAAGAAAAAGCUAAACAGAAAAAUAAAUAUACUGAUAACUUGCAGAAUAAGAAAAUACAAAGAACACCCCAAUUCGCUUGAGGAAACUAGCAUGCACUCAGUGUCCUCAUUAACCUUUGGGUAACUAAUAAUGGACUAAAAGCAGUAGAAGGACCAUGAGAGGUAAAAAAAAACAGUAAUCUAAGUAAGAGUUAGAGAGUAAAAAAUGUCAAUUAGAUAUACAGGGAAGUAGUCAAAGGUAGGUAGGAAAUUUGAGCAUAUAAAUAUGAAAUUUAAGUCUUCAAGGACUUGACUUUUCCAUUAAAUAACACAAAAUGUUUCUAAAUUUGUGGGCCCUGGUCAUUCUGCUGAUUUGAUAAUGAGUACCAACUAAUAGUCUUUUCCUUUUCAAGUUUGGUGUAAAAUACCCAUCAAGAACACAUUAAUUCUCCUAAAUUAGGCCAAUCCCCCCCCCCCCCCAAAAAAAAAUAAAAAUAAAAAAUAAAAAGAAGAACAAGCCAAGACAAAAUGGCUGGUUGGCCAUUGAGUGUAGCAGCACAUGGUUCAAAAAUAAUUAAAAGAAGGGUGAAAAACACACUACACCCAGUUUUUGCUCCAGAAUCUUUAGAUACAGUGAGGGAAAAAGAAGGAAUGCUGUAAACUCCAAAAUUGUACUUCAGUACUUGAAUUCCGGGGGACUGUUAAUAAUAGAGCCAAAAGUACAGAAAAAUAAUUUCUAUUUUUAGUUUUCUAGUUAUUUUUUUAAGAUUUAAGUAUUAUGAUUGUUUGUUUAAGAUUUAAGUAUUAUGAUUAUUAAUUUUGGUAUGAGAGUAUCACACUGCCUGUUUUCUUAAUUUCCCAUAAUAGCUUACCUAUAUAAUUUAGAAAAAUACUUGGGUGAAUCCUAACAUUACUAAUCUUUGUGCAUCCUACCGAAUUGUCACGGUCGAAGGUUAGCCAUACACAACUAGAAGAUUUGAGUACUUUUAUUGCCACAAUUACUUCUAGUUUUCCCAUUGUAAAGGAAACCAUGAUACUUUCUUUAUCAAAUUAAAGGGGGACCAGAAAGAUGAAUAUGGGUUUCUAGCAAACUCUUCUAAAAGUUUUAAACAAAAGAGUGUCUGAAAUCUUGUGGGAGGGAUGGGUCCCAUACCCCAACGGUCUCUCAUCUUCCUUUUUGUUCACUUUCCUCGAAACUCUUUCUGGUUUAACACAUUGCGUGAAACAUAUCAAAAAGUAGGAAGAAAAAACAUGAACAGGAAAUGAAAGUAGAUGAUGAAGAUCAUGACGUCGACAGCAACUAACGAAUCUUUGACAAUAUGUAUUCUAAUUGAAGGAUAUCCUAAUCUCAUGAAUGUUCAUGUCAUCAAAAAAGAAAAAGAACUCAAGAAUGUUCAUUUGUGUUCUUGUUUGAGGGAAUUCCAUUCUGUAAUUUUAACUCAGUUUCUUUGUGUAAGAGCUUUACUAUAUAUUCUAUACUCUUGAAAAUUUAUUUUGUGGACCAUAUAAAAAAAGUAGGAAGAAAAACAUGAACAGGCUAAAUGAAAGUAGAUGGUGAUGACGAAUCUUCAGUGGUAUGUGUAUUAUAACUAAAGCAUUUCCUAAUCUCAUGAAUAUUCAUUUGUGUUCUUGUUUUGAGUGAAUUUCAUUCUAAAAUUUUAUCCGUUUCUUUUCAUUGUAAAGAGCUAUACUAAAUUUGGAGGGUGAUUGAGAAUUACUUACGUAUAUCUUCAUCACUGAAUGGCUUGAAAUCUCCAAUUUCAUCAGGUGGCAAAGUGAAGCCUGUGAAGGAGAAUGACAAUCCCAAGCUCGCACUUGAAGCUCUACUAAGAGCUGCACCACUCCCCAAAUCAUCCAAAUCCAGCUUCAGCUGUGCACUCCUAGACUUCCUGAUAUGUGUGUUUCGACCACCGCCG